AAGGUGGGGAUGACGUCAAAUCAUCAUGCCCCUUAUGAUUUGGGCUACACACGUGCUACAAUGGACAAUACAAAGGGCAGCGAAACCGCGAGGUCAAGCAAAUCCCAUAAAGUUGUUCUCAGUUCGGAUUGUAGUCUGCAACUCGACUAUAUGAAGCUGGAAUCGCUAGUAAUCGUAGAUCAGCAUGCUACGGUGAAUACGUUCCCGGGUCUUGUACACACCGCCCGUCACACCACGAGAGUUUGUAACACCCGAAGCCGGUGGAGUAACCAUUUGGAGCUAGCCGUCGAAGGUGGGACAAAUGAUUGGGGUGAAGUCGUAACAAGGUAGCCGUAUCGGAAGGUGCGGCUGGAUCACCUCCUUU
This 364-nucleotide ribosomal RNA is filed under the name Staphylococcus epidermidis. Its description in RNAcentral is "bacterial SSU rRNA". It matches the Rfam family "Bacterial small subunit ribosomal RNA", at positions 1170 to 1533 of the family's 1533-position model. Lineage: Bacteria; Bacillati; Bacillota; Bacilli; Caryophanales; Staphylococcaceae. The record is from RNAcentral.